GGGGUUGUAGUUAAUAAUAACAUUUAAUUUGCAAUUAAAAAGAACUAGUGUAUAGUCUUCCUCA
RNAcentral lists this transfer RNA (64 nucleotides) under Leptocoris augur. RNAcentral describes it as "tRNA-Ala". The record is from RNAcentral. Lineage: Eukaryota; Metazoa; Arthropoda; Insecta; Hemiptera; Rhopalidae.